This 1143-nucleotide long non-coding RNA is filed under the name Mustela putorius furo (domestic ferret). RNAcentral's name for it is "lncRNA (ENSMPUG00000023987.1)". The record is from RNAcentral. Lineage: Eukaryota; Metazoa; Chordata; Mammalia; Carnivora; Mustelidae.
AUGGCUGCAGGCACACCGCGCUGGGCCUUGAGCUGGCCUGGGCUGCGGCCCCUGUGUCCUAUGUGCUGCCAACCUGCAGCGCCACGUGACCUUCCUAUGCCACCCUGGGGAGCCAUGUGGAAAGCCAAAAUGCCCCCUCAGAGUCUCCCAGGGAGAGCAGUGGGUGGAGAGGAGAGGCAAGCCGCGGUGGAAGAACUGGGGCUUUGUUUUCUUCACCGUGGAGUCUGUGGCUGUGCGAGACUAUCCCGGGGUGCUCUCCCCACUCCCCAGCCUGGUGCCAUGGGCUCGUCUGACUUGCACCAACACACCAGCCGUCCUGGAAUCACCUACUUUCCCACACCCUCUCUGCGCGGAGGAUGUCUUUUCCCGUCGCCUGGACGAAAAGACCCCGCGUUUGGCAGUAUCUGCUUCUGUCCGUCGCUGAACACGGAGAGUACGGCUGACGGCGUGCGGACUGUUGCCGUCACACCAACAACCUAGUGCGGAGAAGCCGGUGUCGAGCAAGCCGUGCAGAACCGCCCUGUCCCGUGGAACUUUCGGAGACAGUCCAAAGGUUCCAGAUCUGAACUGCCAAGGCAGUAGCCCCUAGUCCCAUGUGACUGGUUGAAGUUUUGAGCACUUCAGCCGUGGCUAGUGCUACUGAGAAGCCGAAUUUUAAAUUCCAUUUCAUUUCGUCAACUCAGAUUGAAAUUUCAAUAGUCACACGUGGCUAGCGGCUGCUCCUUCUACAACAGAGCUCCAAGUCACAGCCCCGUCCCCUCACUCUGAGUUAACAUGCUGUCAGAGCACUUACUAUAUUUAUUCAAAAUCAUGAGCUCGUUUUUGGUCAUCUGUCUCUCCGCUUGGCAAGGGCGCUAAUCUGGUUUCCUUAAACGCAGAGCCCAACACGAAAGCUUGCUUGCAGGCUGCUUAGUUGGGAAUGAGAUCCUGGAGGAAACCAAUAAAAAAAUGCUUUAUCAGGGACACCAGAGUGGUUCAAUUGGUUAAGUGUCUGUCUUCAGCUCAGGUAUGAUCCCGGGGUCCUGGGAUCGAGUCCUGCAUCAGGCUUCCUGCUCAGCGGGGAGCCCGCUUCUCCCUCUGCCUCUGCCCCGGCUUUUGCUAUCUCAUUUUCAAGUAAAUAAAUAAAAUCUAAAAAAACCCAAA